GCAGUGGUGGAGUGGGCAGGCAGGCAAGCAGGAUAGCUAGCUGGGGGAUGGGCUGGAUGGUUGGUUGCCUAAAUGAAUGCAAGCCACCCAGUAAGAGUACAGAUAACCGCAUAAUUAACCAUGCAGCAGCAGCAACAGUAGCUGUUGCUGCUUGCAUGGUUAAAAAGAAAUUGCUUUAUGUGUGCAGCAAUACUACUGUCAACAACAAGUCUAUACACACAGCAGUAGCAGCAGUUAGAGUCUCUGCUGCAUCAUCACAGUUUCUGCCCUGCUCACGGAGGAAGCAUAUUAACCUGACUGAGCAACUUAACAAUGCUUAUUCACUUGCCUUCUGCCCAGCUGCAAACCUUUCAUUGCAAAGCAAGGCAAUAAAGUAGUCCUGAUCAACACACUAAAGAAAAAAAAAAUCUCGAAUAUUUACAUUAUCAAUCAUCUUUUUCAGUAAAUCUCAACUCUGUAUUCAUGUUCUGUUUCUAUUAGUUGAGCGGUAAGUAAACACUUAGCAACAAAUUAUUAACUUUCUUUCUUGAUGUUAUAGUUUCUUGUGUUUUUUUUAUUGAUUUUUUAAAAAAAGGAAUUGAUAAUGGGUCGUAUGUGUGUAUAAGCGCGUGCGUGUGUGUUUGUUUGUAUGUAUCUCUCUCUCUCUAUAUAUAUACACAUAUAUAUAUAUGUAUGUAUAUAAACUUUCUGACUGAUUUUGUCACUGAAUGUUACUCAGUAAACUCUCUUGUUAGUGUUGUUAUCUACUUUUUUUUUCCUUCCUCCUCUCACUACCUACUCUAUUCCUAGCAUAUCAAUAGAUUGUUUAAAUUUCGCUUGGUCUCUUAGUCCCCGAUACUUUUUUUGUCUGAAUUCUUUUUCGUUUGUUUCUGUUUUUUCUCUCUUUUUUUUUAAACAUGUCAUGUCUCAUACUGACAUUCCACUAAAACAGUUAUUUGUAGUCUACUUUAAAUAUAUAGUUCCACUCUGGAAACCAACCUUACAUACAAUAAAAGCUCGUUUUCUCAUAACUCGCAACUAGGUUGUUGUAAUGUGUAAAAGAUAAGUUUUUUUUUUUCAGCCUAUAUAUUUUACUUUAUGAGAAUAACAUCUACGUGUUUCCAAUGAACUGUUUAUAUAUAUAAAAAGGAAAAGAAUGAACGGAGUAGGGCCAGUGUUAGUGUUUAAGGUGUGGGUAUAGAUGAAGAAUUAGAGAUGAAGAAACUGUAACACACAUGCACACGUGUCUGCUCUACUUACUUCCUGUAAUUAUCUGAUGCUGUUACAUAACAAUUACUAAUUUGGGGGUCUCUCUCUUUCCUCCCCUCUCUUCUCUCUUUCGUACACCCAAUUACUUUCAUUCAACAUCAAAGGAAAAGAGAAUCCAAAUUAUUUUUGCUUCGUUUUAUUUUUGUUUCAUCUGUACUUUUCAUAAAUAUUUUGUUUACCUGUUUAGUGCUUAAUAAUUUUCUGGUAUAUUUGUGGUUAUAAUGUAAUUUAACCAGAACUAUUUUCUUUGAGUAAAAAAAUACUUUUAGAUCCACUCACUACAGUUACAUUAAUAAUAACAUUUUCAAAUAUUUAUUUAACUAGAUUUUAAAAAUUUAUUUAUAUCGUUUUAAUGAAAAGAACCUUCUCUAAUCUAAGUAUUUUAGGAGUGUUAUUUAAUUUACCUCUAAACAUGACAUGUGGGAGUGUAUGAACCAGAAAUGUUUUUGUUACAAUGCUAUUUGACCGGAUAUUUUCUAAACUUUGCAAAUUCAACUUUUUGCUUGCUAAUUAAUAUACUCACUGGUUAAAAAUAUGCUAAUCAUUUAUUAGUGCUAUAUUUUCAUGUGAAGUUUUAGUUGUUUUGGGGGAGGGGGAUAUGUCACUGUUUUUAUCUGCACACACCAAAAGCAAAAAAGCAAAAAAAAAAAAAAGAAUUAAAAAACAAACUUUCUCUGUUAAGAAAAUUCUGUGCUUUGUUUACUGGUGGUAGCAAAAAGUGUUCUCAGUUGUCCAGCAGUCAGCUGAUCAUUACUUUCUUAUUGCUGUUGGUGGUGGUUAUUAGCUGAUGCUACUUGUAUCUGAAUGCUUCCACAUUACAUGAAAAGAAUUUGGUGAUCAACAUUUUAACAAAUGUUCACACAAGUCUAAAUAAUAUGCUGAAAGUAAUUUGAUAUUUAGCAAAAAAAAAAAAAAAAAAAGUAAAAGUACAUUUGAAUUAAGUUGAAGGUUUAAUAAACAGAACCAGCUGUUUGUGAUGUGUUUGAAAUAAACUGACCUUUUUUUCUACACUUUAAAAAAAAAAAAAUUGAGUACAUUUUUUUUUUUACCGUCAGAGUCACUACAAUAUCUGGAAGCAUUAUAUUGGAAUGUUAAAAAAAAUACCUUAAUCAUACAGUAAGUUCUUCUUUAAAAAAAUAAUUUCUUAUAUGAUUUAGAAACUUUUGAUUAAAAACAAAGUAAACAUAUCUUAAAAGCAGAUUCAUUGAACUAAUUUUAUUUCUGUGCUGUUAAAAAUGCUAUUAACUUGUUUUUUAUUUCCUAUGCAAAAACAAGUUUGAAAAGAAAGUACCAUCAUAUACGGGUAGUGAGAGAGAUAGUAAUUUAAAGGCUUCUACACUUGGUUGAUAAUGUAACCUAGCUGUUACAAAUCAGUUUUAUACACUCGGCAUAAGUUAUUGUAGAUAAGGUUUAAAACAAAAUUUACUUUUCAUACAUAGACUAUUUAUAUACCUACAUAAGCAAGCACACUUGUGUGAGUGUGUGUGUGUGUAAUAGUUUCUGACAGUAAAGCAAGGGUUUUAUAAUCAACAUUAAAUAUAAGUACUUUUGUAAAAAUCACGAAAAAUCGUUGUUUCAUUAUUUAGAGUUUUAACAAAAGAGCUAUACACACUCAUACACUAGCAGACGAAGUAAAUUUUCUGUAAGCUGAGAUUGGUUAAUUUACUCUAGUAUACAGUUUAGGCACCGUCUUAUUUUCAUUUAGUAUUUGUUUUUCUAUAUUUGCACGAGGUUAAUGAUUUUGCUUCGCUUGAUUUAUCCAUUUCUAAGCUGCACAAACGAUGUGUUUAAGUAGAUUGAAAAUGUUUAUAAAGUAGAUGCCCUUCUUGAUGUGAGGAGGAGAUAAAUAAAACUGAUGAUGGCAACAAUUGUUAAUAAAACUGAGCAAUGAAAUAAUGCAAAUACAGAGAAGUUACACUAAUAUUAUGCAACAAUAGUCUGCAGAACAUUAGUAAUAUCUUAAACUGCUGCCACAUGCAACUAUCAGAUGCAUGUAGAUAUAUGCAGCUAUUUAAAUGGUUCCCAUCUAUUUCUUAUUAGUUCUUGAAAACAUGACAUCCUUUUUUUGUUUUGUUUUUAUGCUUAGUGUUAAGUGGGAUGGUCUAAAAUUAGUAUGGACAUUUGUAUUUUAUUAAAGGGAGUGUUUUUAGAGCCAGAUGUUUGUUAAGCUAGAGCGGCUCCUAUUUUUCUAUGAGCAAGGCCAAUUUAGCAGAGUAAUGUGCCUUCCCUGUAGAUCAUAACACAACGACUGUAAUGAGGCUUGAACUCAAGUAUGUUUGACCAGUAAUGCAACGCCUUACUUUGGGAAAAAUAAUCCUAAAAGCUUAGUUUUUGUAAGAUCUAUCCAUUGACUUUACAAAAAUCAAUUUAUCAACAUUCUCCUAUACUUGUCUUGCACUUUAUAAAAGUUUAAAUUUGCAAAUUAUUUUGUCAAUUCUGACAUAAUAAUUUCAAUGUUAGCACCUGUUCCUUUUACCGGAGCAUGUCUUCUGCUGUCAGCUUCAACCUUUUCCAUUAUAUAUUAGCAUUAUAAAAGUUUUCCCUCACUCAAAAAAACUUUUCACCACUAAUUUUUAUGACUUCCUCGUACAUCAAUCCCUUUUUUUUAUAUGGUGUGUACCCUGGAAUAAUAGCAUGAAUCAAGUCUGUGAAUGCAUCCAGAUAGUUCAUUUACUUGACUAGUUCUCUCAGGAAAGUUAUGAUGAUUAUCACAAUUCUGUUAUCUCUACCCCUUUGAUGUCAGUAGGGAUGAUCACCUGUUGAUGAAUAUCUUUGCUUGAUAAAUAGUCAUGCAGCUGACUAUUAUAUAUCAUUGGGCUAUUUCUAUCAAAGAAAUGUGUCUUUUGGUUCCCAUGGACUUUUUUCAACUUGGCUGAGUUUAGUCAUUUUCCCAAAUUUACAUUGCAUACUCAGUGGUAUGUUUAUUCUUCUUCAGCUUUUUCUAUUUUCCAUGGUUCACUGCCAUCCACUAAUACCUCACUUUUCACAAAUACAUCUCUUAAUAAUAAAGUAAAUCAGUUGUUUUAUGGUUUCACUCAACUUAGAAAUCAUAACAUAUGUGAUAGAGGCACUAUAUAAUAGUUUAUUUUCCAAAGCAACUAUUCAAGUGUUUUUUCUAAAACUUAAUCUCUCUUAAUUUGAAUUAUAUCUUCAAUAUACCACUAUUGAACUUUAUCAUCAGUUUCUACUGUUAUAUAAAAUAUCAUCUCAGUAUUUUUGUAUUGUUUUUGUGAAUUUAAUUCCUGAUCUGUUUUGUUAAGUUCUUCAUGACCUACUAAGAAAUCUUGUAAAUAUAAGUUAGAUUUCAGAACAAAACAGUAUCGUGUCAACAUGUUUCUAGUACAACGUUUCAUAAUUCUUGGAAAAUAUAUAAGUUUAGGUACUUAGAGGAUAUCACUCUAUUAACCCUUUAGUAUUCAGAUUACACUGUCAAAUGUAAUAUAUUUUUUAUUCAAAUUGUUUUGAAUUCAUCAAGCAUUAUCUUAUAGCUUUGAGGUUUCAAUGAUGUGAUUGUUUAUUUUUAGAAUGGCAUUGUAGGUUAGGUGUGAAAGGCUAGAUAUGGCCAGUUUGAAUAUAAAACAUAUUGAAUAUUUGGGCCGGAUAUGGCCGGUUUAAACACUAAAGGGUUAAAUGUUUAAUGGGUGGAGUGAUUAACAUAAGUAAAUAACUGCACUGGUCAAGGUAUGACUGCUGGAAAUUUUGGCAAAAUGUUACCAAUUUAAUCCUCAAAUUUUAUAAGUUCCAAGCAGUAAUCAAUAAAGUUUUUGAAAAUAUCUUUAGUUUUCAAAACUAAGAGUGGCUAACAGUGGGGAAGGGUGUCCGCCUAUUAACAUAUUUUGAACAAAUAUAUCUUACGUUAAGUAUUUACAUGAAACCCAGGGAGCCAACUCUUGCUGUAAAAUUAAAAUAUGGCUUUACUGCAUGAACAAGUCACAAAUAGUUUAUUUUGGUAUGCACAAAAUAUUUCUAAAAGAUCAAAAAGUUGUUUAAUGUUCACGAAGUGAUUUUUACAAGUCUGUUUCAUCCCACUGAAUCUCAGAAAGGGAUCUUUCUUCUAGUAUCUAUUUAUUUAGAAGUUGACAUACCCCCAGUGAUAAUUAACAAAUAUAAAUCCUUCUUUAUAUCUGAUUAUAUUCUGAGACAACUCAUUAGUUAAUGUCAUAUAUAGCUGUCAACAAAGUCAGUAUAAAACUUAAUUUUUUCUGAAAAUAAUUUCAAACAGAAUACUUUUAAAGUUUCUUGAUUAGUUCAGAACACUAAUCAACUGAACACUUAUGUCCUACUUAUUAGUUGAUUUUAUAAAAUAUUAAUAAUACAGAAUAAUUGUCUUAUUUUUAUUUAUUUAAAUCACAAAUAAAAUACAGUAAAAUAAUUUUUUUUAUUAAAAAAAACAUAACAUUUAAGUAUUAGUUUUUAAAGAAAUUCCAUUAUAUUUUUCUAUAAAGUUUUACAGCCAUUUUCCCUAUGGUAGCUUGUUCCAUGUUUUCAGAUUUAGAUAUUUACAUAAAAUGUUGAUUAAUGAACUCUAUGGAUAAAUGCUCAUCUUAAUGCUUUUACCAUUCAGUUAGACAAUAAGUACGGUCCCUAUAUUUUUUCCUUUGAUUUGGUUGCUUGUCUUAGGUGUGAAAUACUAUAAGUUUUGAUUAUAAAUAUUCAAAUAUUAAACCAUACAGCUUCGUCUUUUUAUCCUUAUUAAAGCAUAAGAGAAUGUCUUAUGGCUGAAUUAAAUACUUAAUUACAAUAUCUUAUAUACACACAUACAAAUUGGUCAACAUCAAGUUGUUUUCUAAAUUCUUUUUAUCGCAUGCAGUGAAACAACUGCUACUUCAGCAACAGUCAAACUGUUACUGAAAUAUUUCUCGACCCUAAAUACAAAGAUGUGUCCCGGUUGACAUAGUUUUAGAAAACAAAAUCUUGGGAACUCUCUGAAAUUAUACAGUCCUAACAUUUGUUGUGCAGAUGAAAAUUAUGAGAACAUGAGAAAUAGGAGGGGUCGUUGUUCCCUUUUUACUUUUUUUUUUCUCUAACUGUUUUACAUCUAUUUUUCCAUGCUGUUAUGAGUAGAUAGUUUUUGCUGGAGCAUUUGUUAUAUAGUAUCUGGAUACUUUUCUAACUGUUAAAUAUGUACAUUUUGAAAUUAUUAAAUAUUAACAAUUAGCUAAUUACCCAUUGGAGAACAUGAUAUAUCAGCAGAAAUGAUUAUUGACAAACUAUUAGUUGUAAAGGUUGCUAGUUUUAGUUUCUGCACGGAAGUACAUAAAGUUGUUUUGUAGUCGUUAUAAAACACAUAGGUUGUAGGUAGAAUAACUGUGAUCUACAGAAUCAUUGCUCCUAGCUGAACACUUCGUUGUGUCAUUUAAUAUGCAAUGGUUAAUUGUAUAGAGGCAACACUUGCAGGCUGGACAUGUACUAUCUCUAUUGUUCAGUCCAUUUCUGUAGAUACUGGUGUAUCCACAACUUAGCAGGUAAGGGGGAUUUAGUUAGUGCAUAACAGUUGCUGUUCCACUCUACUUAUUUUUAGUGGUAUGCAUCUGGGGUUAAUAAGGGUAUUGAUAAGGCUGUUAUUUUUAUAUGCAUUUGUGUGUUGUGUUUUUCUGGGCCUCGGUAGCAGAGAUUUGUGGUGAUAGCUAGAACAUGUGUGAUACCCUGUGGAUCUGACAUUUUGGUCCCCGAGGAGACAGAGAUUUUAGCUGUAGAAAAUAAUGUUUGUGAUUGUUUUCCAUGCAGAGGUGUGUAAAAUAAGUAUUUAUGACAUAAGAAGUGAAUUUUGUUGUUUUAAGUAAGGCCCUUAAUUUGUGUCUACUAUUUGUUUAUAAACUAUUGUCUUAUUAGCUAUCGUAACUUUCUUAAGGGAGUCUUCUUUCCAUGUUACUCUGAUAACAUUUAAAAUUCUAUUGAUUCCACAUCAAGGAACCUUCUUCUUCUCUACACUGGUGAAGCUAAUAUUUUGGAUUUGUCUACCUAUAUUGUUGACCAUGUUCUUGAUUACUAGCUUAGACAUAGAUCCCAAGUUGAGAUUUCACCUAUAUAUGUAGUCUGCUGGUUCAUUUGUAAUGACUGCUAUGUGGUAUUCAACCUACUGGAAACAACAGCUAAUUCUCUCACAAAUUAUACAUUACUUUCUUGAAUAGGUGACUGCAAUAUUUAGUAAGUAACAACUUUAACCCUUUCAUUACUGUAUUUAUUUUGAGAUGUUCUGUGUUUCUUUCGGUUACUUUGAAUAUAAUAAAGAAUUUAGUAAAAUAGUUUAGUUAUCAUUCAGCUAGUGUUAGGAACAUAAAUUGUGACUAAGGUUUGGUGUAAGAAUUUAAUUCAAAACUUAUGAAAACAUUUGUACUCAGAGCCAGAGCUGGUUUCAGCCAGGUUGGUAAUGAAAGGGUUAAGGUUUGCUUAAACAGGACUGACAAACAGGCUAAACAAAAGACACUUCUGUUGCCCUUCAGAAUUAAACAAAAUCAGAGAGAUACUCUGAAUUUGUAUUCAUUAUAUAAUAUAUUCAUUAUAUAAUAUAUUCAUUAUCUUUUUAUACAUAGAAAAUUAACAGCUGAUAUUAUCAGCUGUUAAAUUUUAAUUAGGGAAACAGAAAUAAAUUAAAACAUCAAAUAUGCAUUUGUUGUUCAUAUUACAUCAGUGUGGUAAAAUAUGUAAAUAUUUCUACAAUUAUAUGUAGUAUCUCUAUUUUCAAGUUAUAUUUCAGCUCAGGUGUGGCUGAGAAGUUUGCUUACUAACUAUGUGGUUUUGGGUUCAAACCCUUGGUGAUCUUCUAUUAUAGUCUUGAGCCAGCCAAAGAUCAUGAGUGGAUUUUGUAAGCAGAAACUGAAAGAAAUCCUGUUGUGUGUGUGUGAGCCUCUUUGUCUUGACAUUGUUUGUUAGUUGUAAAUGAGUUUCACUGUCAUACAAGAGGAGACCUGUUUCCAGUCUAUGAUGAAAACAUAUUCAACCAAAUAGGGGUUAGGUAUUGCUUUGCUUGGAAACAGGUGAGGGUUGUUGACAGGAAAAGCAUCCAGCUGUAGAAAAUCCACUUCAGUGAAUUCUGUCAACCCAUGCAAGUGUAGAGAAGUGGAUAUUGAAAUGAUGAUGAUAUGUGUUUAGUUAAGCGUAUGUAUAUAUGCAUGUGCAUAAUUUUUAUGUUUGUUUACAUUUACAUCAGUCAUUAUAUUGCAGCCAUACUGGAGCACUGCCUUGACAGGUUUACUCAAAGACCUCAAUCUCAGUACUUGUUUUUAAGUCUGGUGCUUACUCUGUUGUUGUCUUUUGCCAAACUGUCAAGUUAUGGGGAUGUAAACAAACCAACACUAGUUAAUCACACACACACACACACACACACAACAAACACAACAUAUACACACAUACACAUACAUACACACACAACAAACACAACAUACACACACAUGCAUUUGUGUAUGUAUGAUGGGCUUCUAUACAGUUUCUGUCUACUGAACUCAUUCACAAGGCAUUGGUCAGCCCAGGGCUACAGUAAAAGAUACUUGCCCAUGGUGCUGUGCAGUGUGACUGAACCCAAAACUAUGUGAUUGCAAAGCAAGUUUUUUAACCACAUAGCUAUGCAUGGCUAUCUGUUGAUAGCAUUGCAUUUAUAUCUUUUAUUCUUGAUACUUUUCCCAUUUUGUAAUAUUAUAACCAUAGUCCUGAAUUUUAGGAUUCUUCCAUUUAACUUAGACUUGAUAAGUCUGUAAGCAACCACAUCAUUCUGAUUUUCAUUUUAGGUCUGUAUAGUACCUUGCACUGUGUUCCAAGAUACAGAGAAAAAAGUUCUAAUUCUAUUCGUCCAAACUUCAGCCGGGGCUGCACAUUGCUAGUUUGAACUUUCUUGUCUCAACAAUAACUUUAGAUUAAUCUGUUUUGGAUUGCUUAUAUCUGUAUCAAUUCAUUCACUGCUGAACUUUCCACUAUCUUCUAGGUGUUUUAUAUAGCUCUAUUCUAAUUACUUUUAUUUUGAUAUCUGAAUCACUUUGCACUUGAUUUGCUACAUUAUUUACAUUUGACGGAUAUUUGUCCUCAUUUUGUUUGUUGUUAACAUGUUUUGGCUGAUAUACCCUCCAGCCUUCUUCAGGUGUCUUGGUGAAAUUUCAAACCUAGGUUCUCAUUCCUAAGGUAUUUUUCAAUGUUGUUGUUGUUGUUGUUGUUGUUGUUGUUGUUGUUGUUAUUAUUAUUAUUCAGAUCACCUGAUGAAGGCUGGGGGGUAUAUCAGCCGAAACAUUGUGUUAACAACAAACAAGAUGAGGACAAAUAUCCGUCAGAUGUAAAUAAUGUACAUAAUUCCGCAUCUCUUAAAUAUAGAACUGUACUUGAUUUGCUAUCGUUUAUUAUCAUCCCCUAAUUUAACACUUCAGUCUCAUUGCAUCCAGUAUUGUAUGCUUGCUUUUCUGAUGCUUCUUAGUUCUGAUAAUACAUCCUUCAAGUUCAUAUUAUCCUUGAAACACAGAAACAAGCUUAAUGCAUCUAUGCACACAUACACACACACUCACAUCACAACCAUUUGUAUGCAUAAUAAAAUCUAUCUAAACUCCGUACCCAUAAAGGAGCCUUUACAUCAGGGGUUCUCAACCAUUUUCUCUCUAUGGACCCAUUUGAUUAUUUUAUUCUGGUGGACCCCUAUUGCCAUUCAAUACUUAAAAACUAGUUUUAUAGAAACUUCCUUCAAAAUUCCUAUUUUGUUUUUCACACAUUCUCUUGUGUAGGUUGAGCUAUGUAAAAUGUUUGAGAAAGAAACCUAACAAGUUCUUGCAAUACAUACCACUACAUCUAAAGCAAAACUUCUUUGUGGGGUCCUUAAAAUACUAUUGUGGGUCCCCAGUUAACUAUUUUAUUGUGCAUUCGCUGCUGGAAUAGGGAAUGGUUGGAGAUCACGUGCUCGGUAGCCUCAAAUCGCCAGGCCUGGUCGGCAUUUGUGAGAGAUGCAGCAUUGAGGAUGCAUGAAGCCAGAUCAACCCACCCUGGGUGAAUGCUGCUCAAGUCAAGUCAAGUCAAAUGUGUAUGUAUGUCCCUGCAAAUCUUAUAUGGGCCCUGGUUGAGAACCAAUGCUUUACAUGGUCACUCAAACUGCUAGGAAAAAAAUAAGCAGCCAAAUUUCCCUCACACUGUAGCCUACUAGCUAAAAACAUGAAGGCCAAAUGGAAUUAUGUGCUCUUAGAUAUACUAUGUCUCAAAAUUCAUACAGGCUGGUCAUGGCUAUAAUGCCUUUGAUCAUAGCUCUGCUUGAUUAAGUAUGUCCUAGAGCUAUAUAUGUCCUUGUGUAUAUGAGGAACACUAUAUCAAUACAGUCUUUAUGAACUCACCCAUGUCAUGUUCAGUCAUCUCUAAAACAUGUUUAGCAAUUUCAGUGUCCAGAGAUGCUACAAGAAUAUCAUCUUAAAUGUUUUAUCUUCCUUAACUCAAUCAAAUAAGUAUGCCUACUCGGCAAAAUGCUCGUAACAUUUGUUGCUUCACUAAGUUGAAACUCUAAGCUUGGUUACCACUUCUAAUAAAUACUAGGGAUAUUACUUAGCAACUGAGUAGACUUUACCUCUGCCACACUUGUGUAUGAAAUGUUUUAUCAUAUAACAGAUUCAGAUUUAACAAGGUGCAGGUGUGGGCUGUGUGGUUAAGAAGCUUGCUUCCCAACCAUGUAGUCUUGGGUUCAGUCCCACUGUGUGCUACCAUGGGUAAGUGUCCUCUACUAUAUUUCCUGGCCAACCAAUGCCUUAUGCGUGGAUUUUGUAGCUGGAAACUUGGAGAAGCCCACUGUGUGUGUAUAUGAGAGAGAGAGAGAUAUACACACACGUAUAUGUGUGUGUGUACUCUUUAUUUAGAGUUUAAAUGAGCAACAUUGUCAUGCAAAUGAUGUUAUUCAUUUCCAGUUUUCUGUAAAAAAAAAAAAAUGUCAGUUCCUAGGGAAAUAUUACCUUGCUUGGAAACAGGUUAGGCAUCUGGCCAUAGAAAACUGUCUUAACAAAUUCUGACUGACAGAUGCAAGCAUAGUAAAGUGGAAGUUAAUAUAUAUGUAAAGAAGUGUACUGUGUGGUCCCAGAUCAAAUUAAAUGAAAGCAUACCUAAGUGAUAAAAAUUUGUAAUAUCAGUUACUCUUUUACCAUCAUCACAUUUGUCUUAUCUCUGAGUCUAUAUGAAUUACAUUUUACUCAAUUCAUUUUCCUUCUAAUUGCAACUUUCUAUAAAUAUUCUACUUUUCCAUGUAUUUUACCAGUCUGUUAAGCUGCAACACUCUCUAUUAACAUUGUGUUACUCUUACUCUGUCACUCCUACUUUUUAUUCUGUUCCUUAUCUUCCUCAAAUUAACAAAUUAAAAAGUUAAUAACUGCAUGCUUACCAGGAAACAGGAUAGACAAUAAGUUACGAAUAACUGUCAAGUGUAAAUUAAUUGACAUAUACAAGUGAUUAGUGAUCUCCAGAUAAGAGCUAGUAUGGCUUAAAGACACAAGGCAAACUAGUGAAGGAAGUUGUAUCUGAAAAAUACUUCUGUCAUGUAUGAGUUCAAGGAAGUACUAGAUGACACCUGAUAGAGGAGAAGAUAGUAAACAAUGGGUACUGCUGCAAGCCACCAGCAGAUCCGCUGAUGGAUCAAAGUUUGAACUGGACAGAGAAUGUCAUGAAGAGGGAAAUAGUAUAGUAGUCAUAAAGAUUAGAAGGCAUGCCUGGAAAGAAUAGAAGAACGGUGAGGAACAAUGAAUGAUAUCAGGUAGCUCUAGCUACCCAAUAGUGUUCAUUAUUCACUACUUUUCUUCAAGACAUUGAGCAGUGAUUUGCCAAUGUUCUGAACCAAGGUGAUAAGCAGAGAGUGUGUCGGCAUUUACCUUGAGUGAUGCUAGGAAUAAAGAGAUAUGGAAAUGCUACUACCAGAGAUUUCUGAAUGAGAAAAAAAAUGUGUUAGAGAGCAAGAUUUGUUCCUGAUAGACCCAACAGAAGAGUGAGCUAUUGAGGUAUAUAGCUAUACAGAUGAAAGAGGAAUAGUUGUGUAGAUGUUGAGAAUAUCUGGCAGAAUAGGCCACACAUUAGUCACUCACAUAAUCUAUCAGGUGAUACAGGAAGUAAUCUCAAAUGACUGGUAUAGUAAUAUGAUUGUCAACUAAUAUAGAAACAAAGAAAACUUUAUAAAAAGGAGUAAAUAUACAAGGCAUCAAAUUAAUAGGCAAAGGAUUGAAUGUGCAAGGUAGUGUCCCUCAGUGUUUGGCCAUCAGCCCUUUCUCUUUAUAAUAAUUCUCUAGGCUAAUACAGAAAUAAAAUACAAAGCUGGCUGACAGUUGAAGUGUUGCAGAAUAGUUCCAAACCUGAAGCAGGCCCUAGAAUUGCAAGAACAAAAUGUUCAUCUACCAUCAACAAAAGUUUUAGUUAGCAGAAGAGAGCACAGAACUCUACUAUCACAUGGAAAACAAUCAAUCUUGAUUUUUAGAAAAGGAGUAAAUAUGAAUUCUAAAGUGUAUACCCACUAUAAACUAUAGAUCCUCAAAAGUGUGGUGAGAUUUUAGGUAGGUUUUUAGAGAACUUUUAUAUGUUGCAGAUGUAGUUAGCAGUGAGAUCUCAUAUGAAGGGAAAUCUAUAAUUCACUGACUAUAAAACAUCUACAUGUAAGAAUUACAGAACAUAAAUGAGUAAAGAUACUCUGAUGCUCAUUUUUUAAUGAGUAUCAGAGGAAAUUAGCUGUAGUGUGUAAGAGAAAAAACUGCACUGGUACAGGUACUUUGUACAUGAAGGAGGACAGAUGUAUGAAGAAAAGUGAAGGAACUUUCAGAAAAGGAAGGGUAAGGGUGAAGUGGUGAAUUUUGAUAUCUGGAUGCUCAAUUAUUUCUAACAAGUUACAAAUUGUUGCUUUUCUAGAGAUUAGUCAUCAAACCCAUGCCAAUUUGUAAAAAUUGAUGUUUGUGAAAUAGCAAGGUCCUUAUAUAUCUUCUAUAUUACGUAUAUUUCUACAGAGAACAAUAGAUAUUUUUGCUGUACUAUUGUUUAUGGUGAAAAGCUCACCUUUCUCACAGGUAACCCCAUAUUAAUGAUUAUUUCUAAACUCAAAGUACCACAUUGUUUUUCGGAUCCAAUAACGAGUACCACCAAAUCAUAUUAGUAUAUCAUUUCCAUUUUUGUUAUCUCAAUUAAAUUCCAUAGUGUAAUAUAGUGGAGCAGAUUUGGAAUUAGAUUCCUUACAUUAGUUUUCAAUAUAAACUUUGUAAGCAUUUUCAAUAACCAGGCUUGUUUUGUAUAAUUAUAGACAGUUGUCAUAAAACUUGAAUAUUUUUUCUUCUUCUUUUUAAAGCAACCUUCAUCUUAUAAAGAAACUCCCUGUUUCCAAAUGUGCUUACCAGUUUGUUGCUUUCUGAGUUCACCAACUUCACAGUAGGUAUUCUGUAGUGUUUCUUUUUCAUUUUUGAAGGUAUACUUCCAAAGACUACAUAAACAGCUGUAUAUUGAAAUCAUGGACUAAAUUAUAUACAUUCUCUUAAUAUUCAAGUUUUGUAACAUUUCUUGUUGCUUCAUUAUGUGUUGGAUAAAUCUUACAGAGUAAACUUAUCUGGUGACUGAAAGAUGCAAGCGUGGUUAUAGGCACAGAUUUGGCUGUGUGGUUAAGAAGUUUGCUUCCCAACCACAUGGUCUUGUGUUCAGUCUCACAACAUGGCACCUUGGGCAAAUUUCUUCUACUACAGCCUCAGGUUGACCAAAGCCAUAUGAAUGGAUUUGGUAGACAAAGACUGAAAUAAACCUGUUGUGUGUGUGUUUGCUUGUUUGUGUCACCCUGUUUUGACAUUGCAUGGUUGUUGUAAAUGAGUGUCACUGUUAUACAAGCAGUGUCAUUUAUUUCCAAUAUUCUGCAAAAAUAUGUCUGGCCAUGGGGAAAUAUUGCCUUGCUUGAAAAGAGAUAGGUUUGGUUGCAUAAAGGGCAUCUGGCUGUAGAAAAUCUGUCUUCCAUACAAGCAUGGAAAAUUUGGCAUAAAAAUGAUUAUAAUGAUAAUGGUUUGUUUUAACUGUGUUAUAGCCAUAUUCCAUGCUGUCAUGGAAGAAUUAGGAACAUGUAAAAUUAUGUGUGAACCAAACUAAAAAAGAACUUUAACCUACUUCCUUGUUUCAGAUCAACAAUUAUUUUUAAAGGCUCACAAGUAAUUAUUAAACAAUAAUUCCAGGUAGACUAUCAACUGUAAAUCUAAUAAUAUAGCUAAUAUAGUUUUUUUAUAAAAAUUUUGACUUAUUUUCCUCAUAUAUUAAGGAAAAAAGAAUUUAUAUAUCUAAAUUAUGUGUUUAUUAUUUCUGGGCUGUGUUUCUAUGUUCCAUUAUUAACAGUUUUUGCUCUAAGAUAAAAAAAUAUUUGUAAUGGGUGGAUUCUUUUUCACUCUGGAAUAAUUUUGCAACUUUAGCUUUAAGUUUGUAGCUAAAUGUUUGGCAUAGCUAUAGGUAUUCAUGAAUUAUUAAACACCUUAGAAAUAUCUAUUAGCUCACACACACACACACACACACACACACACACACACACACACUCGUCAUUGUUGUGCGUCUUCUUUCCAUGCUGUUAUAGGACAAGUCAGAGGAUUGCAUUUUGCUCUUGUUUCAUUUUGGGCUUGGUUUUUAUGGAUUGACACCCUCUCUACAGCACAGGCUGUACUGGAUGCUUUUUCUUCUGUGACACUAGCAUUAGAGAAGUUAUGUUUUUAACAAUACUAAAGUAUUCCCACAACCUUAUUUAUACUUGACAAAGUGUAUGGUGGCCAUUUUUUCAUAGCACCACCACAAGAGAGGUCACUGUUUUCUCAACACAACUAAAAAGACUUCUUAUUCCCAUGUUUCAACUCCUUUGCCUGUUUCUUUACAGAGUGUUAGGCAUGACUGAUAGUGACAUUGGAUGAGUGAAAGGAGUCCUUGGUAUUCUGAGGCAGGUAUGUUUAUUCAAGGCACAGUGACUCUGGAGGUAAAAUGAUGACAGAUACCCAAGAUAUGUGAGAGAAAAGGAGCAAGUGUGUGAUGGCAGAUAAGGUGAAAUGACAUGAUCAUUGGUAGUACAGGAGAAGAGGGUAAAGUUAGUGUAUUGAGCAAAAGUGAUCCAAUACAGUCUCCUAUUACAUAGACUUCAUGGUGGGCUGGAAAGGUUAAGUGAAGAGAGUUGUGAUUGGAGAACUAGAAAAUGGGUGUGUCCUGUAUUAAUGAAUGACAGGAGCAUGAGUGAGGGGAAAAACUAACUGAAAGAUAUCUGGGAUAAAAUACUCCAAGCUAAAAAAGAUGGUAUUCACCUCUUGUUGCUGAUUAUUGCUUUAUUCUCAUACACUAUAAACUAACUUUAGUCAAUAGUCUGCCUGCCCCUCCCAACUACUUUACAAUGUUUUGUUGUUUAGUCACAGGUCAGCCUUGAUUAAGUAGAUCUAUGAUCAAAAGCAUUCCAACAAAUGAUUAUACUGUCUUUUUGUAUAACUAGGAAUAUACUGUCCCAUGUGUCUUUCUUUUUAAUGAUAGUAAGGUAUAUUUGAAAGAAGUUAAGUUGUUAUAUUUAACAGAUCAAGUAAUUGUAUACAAGUUGCUGUGCCAGCUCAAAACUGAAACUUAUUUUGCAAAUUAAAACACCUACAGUAGCUUUUAAAAUAUUUUUAAAUAAUUUUUUGUUACUCCUAUUCUGUUAAUUUUUUUUUUUUUUUUCUAGAAAUAAUUCUUGAUCUUUUCUAUCAAUCUGCAGACUUAUGCUAGUGCUGUGUAAAAAGCACCCAUGUUGGCGCCACAUAAAAAAGCUUCCAUGCUCAUUCCACAUUAAAAACACCAAGCUGCUAUCUGUAAAGUGGUUGGUGUUAGGAAGGGCAUCCAACCUUAGAAACCAUGCCAAAACAGACAAUUGAAGCCUGGUGCAGCUCUCUGACUUGCCAGCUCCUGUCAAACUGUCCAAGUCAUGCCAGCUUGGAAAAUGGACAUUAAAUGAUGAUUGAUUUCCAUUUCAGUAAAUUUAUAUCAAAUAUUGAGUUGAGAAUGACAUGUACAUUGCUGUUAAAAUAUUGAAAAACUA
RNAcentral lists this long non-coding RNA (16225 nucleotides) under Octopus vulgaris (common octopus). The record is from RNAcentral. Lineage: Eukaryota; Metazoa; Mollusca; Cephalopoda; Octopoda; Octopodidae.